This 424-nucleotide ribosomal RNA is filed under the name uncultured bacterium. RNAcentral describes it as "partial 16S ribosomal RNA". It matches the Rfam family "Bacterial small subunit ribosomal RNA", at positions 360 to 776 of the family's 1533-position model. The record is from RNAcentral.
AAUUUUGGACAAUGGGCGCAAGCCUGAUCCAGCCAUGCCGCGUGAGUGCAGAAGGCCUUCGGGUUGUACAGCUCUUUCGGCCGGAAAGAAAUCGCGCAGGCUAAUACCCUACGCGGAUGACAGUACCGUCAUAAGAACCCACGGCCAACGACGUGCCAGCCGCCGCGGUAAUAUGUAGGGUGCGCGCGUUAAUCGGGAUUACUGGGCGUAAAGCGUACGCAGGCGGUUGAUUAAGACAGGCGUGAAAUCCCCGGGCUUAACCUGGGAACUGCGCUUGUGACUGGUCAGCUAGAGUACGGCAGAGGGGGGUGGAAUUCCACGUGUAGCAGUGAAAUGCGUAGAGAUGUGGAGGAACACCGAUGGCGAAGGCAGCCCCCUGGGCCGAUACUGACGCUCAUGCACGAAAGCGUGGGUAGCAAACAGG